Molecule: non-coding RNA, 78 nt
Organism: Otolemur garnettii (small-eared galago)
Lineage: Eukaryota; Metazoa; Chordata; Mammalia; Primates; Galagidae
Source: Rfam
AAAAGACUUGUGUGAAACACAAGAUGGCAAAGUGUAGUAGAAAAAUUAAAUUAGUGCGAGUAGCUCAGCUUUGCUUAA